AGAGUUUGAUUCUGGCUCAGGAUGAACGCUGGCGGCGUGCCUAAUACAUGCAAGUCGAACGGAGAAUGUAGCAAUAUGUUCUUAGUGGCGAACGGGUGAGUAACGCGUUGAUGACCUGCCCGAAGAGAGGGAUAACAGUUCGAAAGGAUUGCUAAUACCCCAUGUGGCCACCGGGAUUAGAUGCCUGGUGAUUAAAGACGAAAGUCGCUUCGGGAGGGAUCUGCGUCCCAUCAGCUAGUUGGUAAGGUAACGGCUUACCAAGGCUAUGACGGGUAGGGGACCUGAGAGGGUGGCCCCCCACAAUGGAACUGAAACACGGUCCAUACACCUACGGGUGGCAGCAGUAGGGAAUAUUGGUUAAUGGGCGAAAGCCCGACCCAAGCAACGCCGCGUGUGCGAUGAAGGCCUUCGGGUUGUAAAGCACUUUUGGAGGGGAUGAGGAAGGACAGUACCCUUCGAAUAAGCCUCGGCUAACUACGUGCCAGCAGCUGC
RNAcentral lists this ribosomal RNA (492 nucleotides) under uncultured bacterium. RNAcentral describes it as "bacterial SSU rRNA". It matches the Rfam family "Bacterial small subunit ribosomal RNA", at positions 8 to 518 of the family's 1533-position model. The record is from RNAcentral.